RNAcentral lists this small nuclear RNA (113 nucleotides) under Suricata suricatta (meerkat). RNAcentral's name for it is "U4 spliceosomal RNA (ENSSSUG00005010559.1)". It matches the Rfam family "U4 spliceosomal RNA". Rfam says of the family: U4 small nuclear RNA (U4 snRNA) is a component of the major U2-dependent spliceosome. The structure of U4 snRNA from yeast and human has been reported. Lineage: Eukaryota; Metazoa; Chordata; Mammalia; Carnivora; Herpestidae. The record is from Rfam by way of RNAcentral.
AGCUUUGUGCAGUGACAGUAUCAUAGCCCAUGUGGCUUAUCCGAGGUGCAAUUAUUGCUAAUUAAAACUUACCUAUUGCACUCAGUAGACAUUUAUGGAGUAGCUACUAGGUG